This is a long non-coding RNA of Centruroides sculpturatus (bark scorpion), 320 nucleotides long. RefSeq lists it as uncharacterized. NCBI's taxonomy places the organism in Eukaryota, Metazoa, Arthropoda, Arachnida, Scorpiones, Buthidae. The transcript is spliced from 3 exons. The record is from RefSeq and is a predicted model, not a curated record.
GACGAAAAUGGAGAAGGAACGUGAACUGCCGCAAGACAAUAGUGAUUCAGAAAUUUGAUGUUUAUUUUCCUGUAGAUGGUGAUCAAUCAUCAUCUGCUCAAGGAGAAGGUAACCAAACAAUUGAUAUUAAAAUGGGAAGAGCAAGAAAUUUCUGAGGGAGUAGAGAGGAUGCAGGCCACUGCACAGGAUACUCCAGUUGAAACUAGGAUAAUAAAAGGAUCAUUUCCUCUUUUUGAAGGCCCGAACAGAGGUAAAUUAUUAUAAUAUCGAUCAUUCCUGAAUUAAGGCAAGUAGACUAUUGAAAAUCUCAACUUUGUAAU